This 60-nucleotide transfer RNA is filed under the name Eutreptiella gymnastica. Lineage: Eukaryota; Euglenozoa; Euglenophyceae; Eutreptiales; Eutreptiaceae. The record is from RNAcentral.
UGGUCUAGUGGUAUAUGCACUGGUCUACAGGUUGGCAAACGUGGGUUCAAGCCCCACCAA